RNAcentral lists this ribosomal RNA (626 nucleotides) under Enterococcus faecalis. Its description in RNAcentral is "bacterial SSU rRNA". It matches the Rfam family "Bacterial small subunit ribosomal RNA", at positions 63 to 678 of the family's 1533-position model. Lineage: Bacteria; Bacillati; Bacillota; Bacilli; Lactobacillales; Enterococcaceae. The record is from RNAcentral.
CGAGUGCUUGCACUCAAUUGGAAAGAGGAGUGGCGGACGGGUGAGUAACACGUGGGUAACCUACCCAUCAGAGGGGGAUAACACUUGGAAACAGGUGCUAAUACCGCAUAACAGUUUAUGCCGCAUGGCAUAAGAGUGAAAGGCGCUUUCGGGUGUCGCUGAUGGAUGGACCCGCGGUGCAUUAGCUAGUUGGUGAGGUAACGGCUCACCAAGGCCACGAUGCAUAGCCGACCUGAGAGGGUGAUCGGCCACACUGGGACUGAGACACGGCCCAGACUCCUACGGGAGGCAGCAGUAGGGAAUCUUCGGCAAUGGACGAAAGUCUGACCGAGCAACGCCGCGUGAGUGAAGAAGGUUUUCGGAUCGUAAAACUCUGUUGUUAGAGAAGAACAAGGACGUUAGUAACUGAACGUCCCCUGACGGUAUCUAACCAGAAAGCCACGGCUAACUACGUGCCAGCAGCCGCGGUAAUACGUAGGUGGCAAGCGUUGUCCGGAUUUAUUGGGCGUAAAGCGAGCGCAGGCGGUUUCUUAAGUCUGAUGUGAAAGCCCCCGGCUCAACCGGGGAGGGUCAUUGGAAACUGGGAGACUUGAGUGCAGAAGAGGAGAGUGGAACUCCAUUGGUUA